AGGGUUCCUCGUUGCUUAAGACCGGCGGCGGAUUGUAAACUUCUUUGGUCCGGGACGAAACGGUCCUGGUUAAUAUCUGGUGCUAAUGACGGUACCUGAAGAAUAAGCACCGGCUAACUACGUGCCAGCAGCCGCGGUAAUACGUAGGGUGCAAGCGUUAAUCGGAAUUACUGGGCGUAAAGCGUGCGCAGGCGGUUAUGUAAGACAGAUGUGAAAUCCCCGGGCUCAACCUGGGAACUGCGUUUGAGACUGCAUGGCUAGAGUGUGUCAGAGGGGGAUAGAAUUCCACGUGUAGCAGUGAAAUGCGUAGAUAUGUGGAGGAAUACCGAUGGCGAAGGCAAUCCCCUGGGCUUGCACUGACGCUCAUGCACGAAAGCGUGGGGAGCAAACAGGAUUAGAUACCCUGGUAGUCCACGCCCUAAACGAUGUCUACUGGUUGUCGGGUCUCAACUGACUCAGUAACGCAGCUAACGCGUGAAGUAGACCGCCUGGGGAGUACGGCCGCAAAGUUAAACUCAAA
This 520-nucleotide ribosomal RNA is filed under the name uncultured prokaryote. RNAcentral describes it as "bacterial SSU rRNA". It matches the Rfam family "Bacterial small subunit ribosomal RNA", at positions 386 to 905 of the family's 1533-position model. The record is from RNAcentral.